AUUGAACGCUGGCGGCAGGCCUAACACAUGCAAGUCGAGCGGAUGAAGGGAGCUUGCUCCUGGAUUCAGCGGCGGACGGGUGAGUAAUGCCUAGGAAUCUGCCUGGUAGUGGGGGAUAACGUCCGGAAACGGGCGCUAAUACCGCAUACGUCCUGAGGGAGAAAGUGGGGGAUCUUCGGACCUCACGCUAUCAGAUGAGCCUAGGUCGGAUUAGUUAGUUGGUGGGGUAAAGGCCUACCAAGGCGACGAUCCGUAACUGGUCUGAGAGGAUGAUCAGUCACACUGGAACUGAGACACGGUCCAGACUCCUACGGGAGGCAGCAGUGGGGAAUAUUGGACAAAGGGCGAAAGCCUGAUCCAGCCAUGCCGCGUGUGUGAAGAAGGUCUUCGGAUUGUAAAGCACUUUAAGUUGGGAGGAAGGGCAGUAAGUUAAUACCUUGCUGUUUUGACGUUACCAACAGAAUAAGCACCGGCUAACUUCGUG
This 484-nucleotide ribosomal RNA is filed under the name uncultured bacterium. RNAcentral's name for it is "partial 16S ribosomal RNA". It matches the Rfam family "Bacterial small subunit ribosomal RNA", at positions 30 to 507 of the family's 1533-position model. The record is from RNAcentral.